Molecule: ribosomal RNA, 164 nt
Filed under: Chloropyron tecopense
Lineage: Eukaryota; Viridiplantae; Streptophyta; Magnoliopsida; Lamiales; Orobanchaceae
Description: 5.8S ribosomal RNA
Rfam family: 5.8S ribosomal RNA
About the family: 5.8S ribosomal RNA (5.8S rRNA) is a component of the large subunit of the eukaryotic ribosome. It is transcribed by RNA polymerase I as part of the 45S precursor that also contains 18S and 28S rRNA. Functionally, it is thought that 5.8S rRNA may be involved in ribosome translocation.
Source: RNAcentral
AUAACGACUCUCGGCAACGGAUAUCUCGGCUCUCGCAUCGAUGAAGAACGUAGCGAAAUGCGAUACUUGGUGUGAAUUGCAGAAUCCCGUGAACCAUCGAGUCUUUGAACGCAAGUUGCGCCCGAAGCCUCACGGCUGAGGGCACGCCUGCCUGGGCGUCACGC